RNAcentral lists this ribosomal RNA (253 nucleotides) under uncultured bacterium. Its description in RNAcentral is "partial 16S ribosomal RNA". It matches the Rfam family "Bacterial small subunit ribosomal RNA", at positions 524 to 776 of the family's 1533-position model. The record is from RNAcentral.
UACGAAGGGGGCUAGCGUUGCUCGGAAUCACUGGGCGUAAAGCGCACGUAGGCGGAUUGCUAAGUCAGGGGUGAAAUCCUGGAGCUCAACUCCAGAACUGCCUUUGAUACUGGCGAUCUCGAGUCCGGGAGAGGUGAGUGGAACUGCGAGUGUAGAGGUGAAAUUCGUAGAUAUUCGGAAGAACACCAGUGGCGAAGGCGACUCACUGGACACAUAUUGACGCUGAGGUGCGAAAGCGUGGGGAGCAAACAGG